RNAcentral lists this transfer RNA (68 nucleotides) under Malachiinae sp. GENSP01. RNAcentral describes it as "tRNA-Gln". The record is from RNAcentral. Lineage: Eukaryota; Metazoa; Arthropoda; Insecta; Coleoptera; Melyridae.
UACAUUUUAUUAUAUAAGUAUAAAAAUUUUUGAAAUUUUAGGAGAUAGUUAAAUUCUAUUAAAUGUAA